Long non-coding RNA from Lolium perenne, 440 nucleotides. RefSeq lists it as uncharacterized. NCBI's taxonomy places the organism in Eukaryota, Viridiplantae, Streptophyta, Magnoliopsida, Poales, Poaceae. The record is from RefSeq and is a predicted model, not a curated record.
AUCGGAAUCCUCCAGCUUCUUCCUCUUCAAGGCGUGGCCCGAUGGCGAUAAAUCCGACGCUUCAUAGCGCCAUCUUCGCGGUGCUGAUGUCGACCGUGUACGUGGGCACGUCGUAUCAAUUGCGCAAGAUUGCGGAGGAAACCAAGGAGCGCCAGCGCCAGAUGCAGAUACGCGCCGCCGCCUCCCAGCCCCAGGACAACAAGACCUAGCCCGCCGGUAGCCUGGAUGAUGGCCAAGACCGAACAAGACGUCUUGAGAUCCGACUUAAUUUACUUCUCCAGUAUUUCGUUUUCUUGCUGCAGUCUGUAAUCCGUUUGUCUCUGCACUCUAUUAUUCGCAGUAAUUCUCAUGGUGGCUUGCUACUCUUUUGCUUUGAUUCACAACCGCAACGUGUGCUCUCAUUCACUCAGAUUCUUAGUAAAAUUGGGUUGAUUUGUAAA